UGCCGGAACCCGGGAUCGAACCAGGGACCUUUAGAUCUUCGGUCUAACGCUCCCUCAACUGAGCUAUUUCGGU
Molecule: transfer RNA, 73 nt
Filed under: Cordylochernes scorpioides
Lineage: Eukaryota; Metazoa; Arthropoda; Arachnida; Pseudoscorpiones; Chernetidae
Description: tRNA-Phe
Source: RNAcentral